GAUGAAGAACGCAGCGAAAUGCGAUAAGUAAUGUGAAUUGCAGAAUUCAGUGAAUCAUCGAAUCUUUGAACGCACAUUGCGCCCCCUGGUAUUCCGGGGGGCAUGCCUGUUCGAGCGUCAUUUCACCACUCAAGCCUCGGUUGGUAUUGGGCAACGCGGUCCGCCGCGUGCCUCAAAUCGACCGGCUGGGUCUUCUGUCCCCUAAGCGUUGUGGAAACUUUCGCUAAAGGGUGUUCGGGAGGCUACGCCGUAAAACAACCCCAUUUCUAAGGUUGACCUCGGAUCAGGUAGGGAUACCCGCUGAACUUAAGCAUAUCAAUAAGCGGAGGA
This 330-nucleotide unclassified non-coding RNA is filed under the name soil metagenome. RNAcentral's name for it is "partial contains 5.8S ribosomal RNA, internal transcribed spacer 2, and large subunit ribosomal RNA". The stretch from base 1 to 120 matches the Rfam family "5.8S ribosomal RNA", at positions 35 to 154 of the family's 154-position model. The record is from RNAcentral.